UUUUAGCCGUGUUUCCCAUCAAAUUCUAUAUAACCAUUUGCUAUAUAUCCUACAGUAUAUGUGAAAUAAUCUCAAAGUGGUAGUACAAAUAUUUCCGCUAGUAUUAAGACUAUUGAAUCAUUUGUUUUUUGCUCUUUUUUUACCCUUAAAAUGUAAUCCACAUGAGAAUUUAAAAUCAAAAUAUAGGAAAGUCAUUUGAAAUGAGUUUUCUCUUUUAGUUAUGUCUCCAGAGUAAUAUAUGGUUAUAUUCAUUUAUUUUAGCUGUUUUUUAUUCUUAGUGAUUAAUUUAAUCUUAUGAACAUAAUAAGCAAUUACAUUACCAAGAAUAAACACUUUUAUGAGGUAUAUUCAGAAAAAUCCUGCUUCCAUUCCUAGCCCCUCUUUUCUGUUUCUCUAUCACAAUGGGUAACCAUAUUUUAAUUUAAAUUUUUUGUUCUGUUUUAUAUACCUUUAUAGAUAAAGUAUAUAAAUACACUCACAUAAGAGGAGGUAUAAUAGACAUACUCUAUUUUGUUUUCUCCAUUUAAUGCAUCUUGUAUAGGUCAUAUUCAUACGUAGGAAUCGAUUUGGUUGUUUUUAUUGCAUAGUAUACUUUUGUGUGGAUAUAUCACAGUUUAUUCAACUGGUCCCUGUUGAUGAAUGUUUUGGUUGUUGCUAAUGGUUACCUUUAUGAGUAAUUUUACAAUAAUGUUGUUCAUAAAAAAAUUCCAUCCCUAAGGGAAAUUCUAUUGCUGUUAAAAUAUAAAAUAAUUUAUUAUUUCACCUUGCUGGAUGAAUUAAGGCUCAUUUGAUUAUGAGUCAUAGAAUCCAAAUGAAGCUAAGGUAAGUAGGCUUAGUAACUUAUUGUAAGGAUACACUGGUUUCUAAUGGAACUCAAAGAAGAAUGGGACACCUGGGCCUUGGGACAGUGUCUUAGAGUUAAAAACACUUAUCUCUGGGGAUCAAAGACAGUUCCUCCAGAAGGGGAAGUCCUCAUGAGUUGGCCGGACACCCUCAGAAAUGUCUAUAAGGUGACCGACUGAGCCCACAAGAUGAGUCCAUCUUCUCCAAGAGGUAAGGGUUCAAGUGUGCCAUCAACUAUAGGACCUAUCACAUACGCAGACCACUUUUAUGUGUAAUCAUUUUCAAAUUUUGUAAUGUCAUUGUUUUACUUAAAAGCAAAUACUUUUAAAAUGUUUUAUUUUAAAACUUUAUUUCAUUCUGAGUAUAGUUCAUUUA
RNAcentral lists this long non-coding RNA (1218 nucleotides) under Capra hircus (goat). Its description in RNAcentral is "lncRNA (ENSCHIG00010022939.1)". Lineage: Eukaryota; Metazoa; Chordata; Mammalia; Artiodactyla; Bovidae. The record is from RNAcentral.